RNAcentral lists this long non-coding RNA (963 nucleotides) under Fukomys damarensis (Damara mole-rat). RNAcentral's name for it is "lncRNA (ENSFDAG00000031694.1)". Lineage: Eukaryota; Metazoa; Chordata; Mammalia; Rodentia; Bathyergidae. The record is from RNAcentral.
UCUGAGCAGCUCCGUGAGCUGCGUCUGGACGCCGACCUGGCUGUCUGGCUGCCCGCGCGGCCGGCCAAGCAGGGCGCCGUGGUCACCGCCUACGUCACGGUCUCCGGCAACUCCACCGUGGACGCCUUCGUGCUGAGAGCCAAGGUGAAGAAGGGGGUGAGCAUCCUCAGUGCACAGACCAGUGAGCCGCAGCAGUGGGAUGUGAAGCAGGAGGUGUGGAAUGGCGGGAAGCACGCCACAGCCACGGUGGCCUGCCAGCGCCUGGGCGCACACAACAGCAGCGGCAGCCUGUUCGGCGAGGUGGUGCAGAUGAACUUUGAGAUCGCCAGCUUCAGCAGCCUGUCGGGGACGCAGCCCAUCACGUGGCAGGUGGAGUACCCGAGGAGGGGCACCUCCAGCGCUGCCGUGUCUGAGGUCUUCGUCAGCCAGCAGGACCUGGUGGGCAUUGUGCCCCUCGCUGUGGACACCGAGAUCCUGAACACGGCCAUCCUCACGGGCAAGACAGUGGCCAUGCCGGUGAGGGUGGUGUCGGUGGAGGAGCAUGGAGCGGUGACAGACGUCUCGGAGCAGGUGGAAUGCGUGUCCACAGAUGAGGAUGUCAUCAAGGUCUCUGGCCACUGCGACUACAUCUUCGUCAACGGCAGGGAAGUGAAGGGAAAGACAGACGUGGCGGUGAACUUUGUGUUCCGGCACCUGAGCGCCCCGCUGCAGGUCACCGUGUGGGCACCGCGGCUGCCCCUGCACAUCGACGUCUCAGACACGGAGCUCAGCCAGAUCAAGGGCUGGCGCGUCCCUCUGGCAGCCAGCGGGAGGUGAGCGGGCGAGGCCCAGCUGCAGCAGAGCAGACCACCAGGGGGGCCGGGCCGGGCCAGUCCAAGCGGAUCCCUGAGUCAUCCCCAGGUCCCCUCGGGGUCCCCAUGUCCCCUUCAGGGUCCCCAUAUCCUCCCCAGAGUCCCCAUGUCC